AUGACGCAAUCAGAUGCGUGUUUGGGAAUCCCGGAUUGUAAUAACGCAUUUAUCAUUGACGGUCUAGCCUACUACACCUUUAAGACGUCGAAACUGUGCAAAUUGGGAGUGGGCAUAUGUUCGACUGUAAAAUCACAACACUUCGCAAUGGGAAAACUGUGAAGAGGACCGCUGCGCUGACCACUAGUUAUAGAACAGCCAGCGACAAAGAUAUUUAUCUCAUCGACACAAAAAUAUCUGCCGGUAUCCUGCAUGUUGUACUGUUGUGGAAGCAAGGACAAGGAGAAGCAGCGGCCGGACGCUGCAGAGGUGUCGAGAAUUCUAGAGACAGAGCCAGAGAAAAACCGAAAGAGCCAAGAAAGCGCACCUCAACCACUGGACAUGUGCGGAAUAGCGGCAAUGCCCGAGCUUCUACCACCGUCUGGCGUACUCCAGCCCAGCUCAGUAAUCCCACGCGAGUCGGGUGAGGUGCCUGGUUUGUGGAGUGGAUUCAACAGGGGUGUGCUGAGCUUUGACUCCCCCCAGCGGAGACGAGGCCAACGGGCCCCGAAGUUAGGGCAAAUAGGACGGUCGAAGAGAGUGGUUAUAGAGGAUGACGACUUGGAUGAUGUCAUGAACAACAAUGGCCUCCCCAUAUCAAUCAAUAUCUCUCCUGUUGCCUGAACAACUCUGAUAGUGUCCAGACCUCAAGAGGCUAUUGUGCUCAUUUGUGAAAUUCUGAAGCGUGUACCACUUGUUCUGGACAAUGCCCAGUUCAGGUGCCCAUUGCAAAGUUUACAAUAGCAGCAUGCGCAUCACCUGUAGUUUAGCUCUUCCUGGACACAGGAAGGUCAGUGUCCCAAGGGAAUAGAAAAAACAACAGUGCAUCUUUGCUUCAGCUGCUGUUCUGGUGUUGAAGGGGGGACUUUGUGUCCUGAGGGGAGGGGAGCAAUUAGGAUAGAUUUGGGUCCGGACAGGCUGAAACAUAAGCACACAAGAGAAGGCCCUACCCAUCAAGAACUGCCCCUUCAAAAUGAGUGAACCUGUUUGUUUGUUGUUUAGUCUUUAGUGUCUAUAUUUUAAACACUCCAUCCAAUAUGUUAUUUUAAUUUAUCUGUCAAUCCAACCCAUAUCUAAAUGAGAAAACAGCUACUCAUAGUACUGGUCAGUGUUUUCACAGUAUUAUUUAUUUUAGAUACUGUACACUUUUUCAGUGUUUCACAUAUUAUGUUGACAACACUUAUUUUAUUUUUGACGGUUGACAUCACUGUCUCGUUUUGGUGCAAAUUCAUUGUCUGUAAAAUCUGUUGUAAAACGUGUUCGAUACACUGAAGGCUUUAAUUUGCCAUUGUAACAUGUUAUGUCAUAAUCGUUGUCUUAGUAUAACAUAUGUUGUACUGUAUGUUACUUUUACCCCUGAGUUGCUAGACAAAAACAAUUACCACUGUGAACUAUUUAUGGAACUUCUAUGUAUCCCUGCAUCGAGGUGUAAUAUACAACUUUUUUAUAACCA
Molecule: long non-coding RNA, 1492 nt
Organism: Coregonus clupeaformis (lake whitefish)
Lineage: Eukaryota; Metazoa; Chordata; Actinopteri; Salmoniformes; Salmonidae
Exons: 3
Source: RefSeq, a predicted model, not a curated record